RNAcentral lists this long non-coding RNA (292 nucleotides) under Physcomitrium patens. RNAcentral describes it as "long non-coding RNA (PPAT_LNC005414)". The record is from RNAcentral. Lineage: Eukaryota; Viridiplantae; Streptophyta; Bryopsida; Funariales; Funariaceae.
AUCAAUGUGGUUAGACUUUACUUGCAAGUGAUUCUAUUUCACAAUUAAUUCCUCCAAAGAAUGUAUAGAGUCCAUUUCAGAAAGAAAAAAGGAAAAAAAAAAAAAAAAAAAAAAGAAAAAAAAAGGGGGGGGGGCAAACAGCCUUCUAAUUAUUCUUCCUCUACUAUAUUCAUUUAUAAACUUAUUUACAUAUUUUUCUUCUUUAACCCCCAUGUCCCACAACACACAUCCAGUAACAUUGGCCACACCAAACUCUAAGUAACAGUGAUCCAUAUCCACAGAACAACAUCCC